GUCCCUGUAGCGUAAUGGAUAGCGCAUUGGACGUGUAAUCCAAAGGUCGUGGAUUCGAAUCCUACCUGGGAUG
RNAcentral lists this transfer RNA (73 nucleotides) under Trichonephila inaurata madagascariensis. It matches the Rfam family "tRNA". From Rfam's summary of the family: Transfer RNA (tRNA) molecules are approximately 80 nucleotides in length. Their secondary structure includes four short double-helical elements and three loops (D, anti-codon, and T loops). Further hydrogen bonds mediate the characteristic L-shaped molecular structure. tRNAs have two regions of fundamental functional importance: the anti-codon, which is responsible for specific mRNA codon recognition, and the 3' end, to which the tRNAs corresponding amino acid is attached (by aminoacyl-tRNA synthetases). tRNAs cope with the degeneracy of the genetic code in two manners: having more than one tRNA (with a specific anti-codon) for a particular amino acid; and 'wobble' base-pairing, i.e. permitting non-standard base-pairing at the 3rd anti-codon position. Lineage: Eukaryota; Metazoa; Arthropoda; Arachnida; Araneae; Nephilidae. The record is from Rfam by way of RNAcentral.